CAAGGUUUCCGUAGGUGAACCUGCGGAAGGAUCAUUAUCGAAUGAAUUCUUUGUGAAUUAUCUGUUCUGGUCGUUGCCGAGCGGCGCAAGCCGAGCGGUGACGUACUGAUGCUUACGCAUAAUGCUUGGCGUGCUCUAGAGUGCCGAUCGGUUCGCAGGACCAGGUGGGGGUCUGAGCCUUCCUACUCGGCGUACGCGUCAAGUAUAAUAUUUUCUACCGGUGAGGUACCUAAAUGCACUCGCUUGCUACUGUCGUUGCCAUGCAGUGGCGCAAAGGCGAGGCGCAAGUGCCAGACUCGUGCACUGAUACGCGAGUCGAGAGCGCAAGGUUCAAAGAGUUGGGCUCGAGCUGGCUGUUGUUCAUUACUUCAGCUGGCUGGCACUCGUGCACUUCGGUGUGCGAGCGUCCCCAUCAUGAGACCGGCCGCCUCACACUUUCUCUUUAUUGAAUUGCUCGUUAUAUUGAAACUAUACUGAAUACGGGAUAAGAAAUACAACUCUAGGCGGUGGAUCACUCGGCUCGUGCGUCGAUAAGAGCGCAGCAAACUGCGGAAGUUGUGUGAAUUGCAGGACACCUUGAUCAUCGACAUCUCGAACGCACCUUGCGGCCGAGGUUUCUAGCCUCGGCCACGUCUGUCUGAGGGUCGGCUUACUCUUAGGAGUAACCACACUGUAAUGUGGUUUGUUCGGAGGUUCACAUCUGGUCCUCGUGAGCAGAUGCCUCUGUAAAUUGUUGAACUGCGCCAGUCGGACUGCGUCGUUGCUCAUGCGCGGACUGAUAUUGACUUGUUGGUGCGUUGGCUUGUCUCUGUCGUUGCUUCUAGCAGAGAACUCCGCUUUCAUUGGUGGAGGUGCUAACGUCACUGCUCCGAGUCACGGUGCAACUAGACACUCAAAUCACGGCCUCAGAUCAGGCGAGAUUACCCGCUGAACUUAAGCA
RNAcentral lists this ribosomal RNA (940 nucleotides) under Stenostomum grabbskogense. Its description in RNAcentral is "eukaryotic LSU rRNA". The stretch from base 496 to 647 matches the Rfam family "5.8S ribosomal RNA". The record is from RNAcentral. Lineage: Eukaryota; Metazoa; Platyhelminthes; Stenostomidae.